CCCGCGCUCCCGGACCUGCCCGAGCAGUUCUGCCCUCCGGACGCGGCGCCCCCCAUUCUGCUGAAGCUGGCGGAGGCCUUGGAGCGGACAGAGCUGGACUGCGAAGCCUACUGCCGGCCCGAGCCGCCGGCCCCCCGGACAGACUGGGCGCUGGCCGACCUGGAGCAGUGGGACGCGGCCGCGCUGUGCGACGCCGUCAAGGGCUUCCUGCUGGCCCUGCCCGCACCGCUGGUGACCCCGGUGGCGGCGGCCGAGGCGCACCGGGCCC
This is a long non-coding RNA of Dipodomys ordii (Ord's kangaroo rat), 268 nucleotides long. RefSeq lists it as uncharacterized. The record is from RefSeq and is a predicted model, not a curated record. Lineage: Eukaryota; Metazoa; Chordata; Mammalia; Rodentia; Heteromyidae. The transcript is spliced from 3 exons.